ACGUUAGCGGCGGACGGGUGAGUAACACGUGGGUAACCUACCUAUAAGACUGGGAUAACUCCGGGAAACCGGGGCUAAUACCGGAUAANACAUGAAACCGCAUGGUUUCAUGAUGAAAGACGGUUUUGCUGUCACUUAUAGAUGGACCCGCGGCGUAUUAGCUAGUUGGUAAGGUAACGGCUUACCAAGGCAACGAUACGUAGCCGACCUGAGAGGGUGAUGGCCACACUGGAACUGAGACACGGUCCAGACUCCUACGGGAGGCAGCAGA
RNAcentral lists this ribosomal RNA (271 nucleotides) under uncultured Staphylococcus sp. Its description in RNAcentral is "partial 16S ribosomal RNA". It matches the Rfam family "Bacterial small subunit ribosomal RNA", at positions 89 to 354 of the family's 1533-position model. The record is from RNAcentral. Lineage: Bacteria; Bacillati; Bacillota; Bacilli; Caryophanales; Staphylococcaceae.